CCCAGCCUCUGUUUGAUGGCGAGCUUCCUUUCCCAUUGAAGCAGAAGGGGGUAGGAUCCUUAGUGCGGUCGGGCCUGAAUUCCUACCGACGCAUGAUAGCACGGGGCGGUCUGGCCCCUUCCUCCCUUUGGGCCUUCUUCCUUCCUUCCUUCCUCCUUCCUUUCUUUGGGAGUGGAGGCCGGCUUCCUUUGGCUUCCACAUCUCCACCAGAGGUCCCGGGGGCUCUUGGAGCUCCCCAACAUCAGGGCCUAAAAUAGCCCCCCCAGUGAUGGAGCUAAGACUACGUAGAUAAGUGAGGGAUCCAGAGAGGGACUGAACAAUGGUGGGUACCAGCCUUACAGUGUCCAACAGAUAAAUUGCAAGUUUUUCUUAAUUCACUCUCAGAAUACUUUUCGGCAUUUGGAGAUUUGGCUGCUCCCUUCACCAAAACAGUCUGUGCAAUGGAGGGUAUUGGUGUCUGGAAUAGGGGUCAGGAGAAUCAAUUUCUAGUCUCCAUUUUUUUCUCUUUCUUUUAAAAAAUUUUUUAUUGUUAGUCCCAUUUUAGAUGACCUUGACCAAGUCCCUUCUCUGGACUUCCAUGUUCCCUUUUGUCAAAUGAAAGAACUACCUUCUGUCAGAGAGGAAUUGGAUUAUAAAUUUGGAGUGAAGUAUGCCUUGUCAGUGGAGCUGAUGCCUGGCUGUCUACCCAGUGAGCCACCCAGCUGCCCAGCUGUAUGUUCUAGGAAGAGGAGGAAUAAGCAUAUACCUGAGCAGAGGAAAAAAUGUAUGUGAAAUUGACCCACCCAAGAUAGCCAUAAUGAGUAAUAAUAAAUAUUCCCCCUCCUUUUCUGGAAGGGAAAGA
Long non-coding RNA from Monodelphis domestica (gray short-tailed opossum), 841 nucleotides. The record is from Ensembl. NCBI's taxonomy places the organism in Eukaryota, Metazoa, Chordata, Mammalia, Didelphimorphia, Didelphidae.